This 165-nucleotide small nuclear RNA is filed under the name Oryzias latipes (Japanese medaka). Its description in RNAcentral is "U1 spliceosomal RNA (ENSORLG00015009744.1)". It matches the Rfam family "U1 spliceosomal RNA". From Rfam's summary of the family: U1 is a small nuclear RNA (snRNA) component of the spliceosome (involved in pre-mRNA splicing). Its 5' end forms complementary base pairs with the 5' splice junction, thus defining the 5' donor site of an intron. There are significant differences in sequence and secondary structure between metazoan and yeast U1 snRNAs, the latter being much longer (568 nucleotides as compared to 164 nucleotides in human). The record is from RNAcentral. Lineage: Eukaryota; Metazoa; Chordata; Actinopteri; Beloniformes; Adrianichthyidae.
AUACUUACCUGGCAGGGGAGAUACCAUGAUCAUGAAGGUGGUUCACCCAAGGUGAGGCUCAGCCAUUGCACUGAGGCUGUUGCUGACCUUUGCGAAUUCCUCAAAUGUGGGAAUCUCGACUGCAUAAUUUCUGGUAGUGGGGGACUGCGUCCGCGCUCUCCCCUG